GACGAACGCUGGCGGCGUGCUUAACACAUGCAAGUCGAACGGAAAGGCCCUGCUUUUGUGGGGUGCUCGAGUGGCGAACGGGUGAGUAACACGUGAGUAACCUGCCCUUGACUGUGGGAUAACUUCAGGAAACUGGGGCUAAUACCGGAUAGGAGCUGCUGCUGCAUGGGGGGGGUUGGAAAGUUUCGGCGGUGGGGGCUGGACGCGCGGCUUAUCAGCUGGUUGGUGGGGUAGUGGCUUACCAAGGCUUUGACGGGUAGCCGGCCUGAGAGGGUGACCGGCCUCCUUGCGCCUGCGGUACGGCCCAGUCUCCUACGGGAGGCAGCGGUGGGGAAUCUUGCACAGUGGGCCGACGCCUGAUGCAGCAACCCCGCGUGCGGGAUGACGGCCUUCGGGUUGUAAACCGCUUUCGCCUGUGACGAAGCGUGAGUGACGGUACUGGGUAAAGAAGCACCGGCUAACUACGUG
RNAcentral lists this ribosomal RNA (468 nucleotides) under uncultured bacterium. RNAcentral's name for it is "partial 16S ribosomal RNA". It matches the Rfam family "Bacterial small subunit ribosomal RNA", at positions 28 to 507 of the family's 1533-position model. The record is from RNAcentral.